UCUAAGUAUAACCUGCCAGACAGGGAAACUGCGUACGGCUCAUUACACCAGCCUUAAUUUACUUGACCUUGACAACCUACUUGGAUAACUGUGGUAAUUCUAGAGCUAAUACAUGCACCAAAGCUCCGAUCCUCGCGGAGAGGAGCGCAUUUGUUCGCCACAAAACCAAGCGCCCAUCUGGGCGUCCAGUGCUGAACCAGAACAACUCAGCUGAUCGCACGGUCUUGUACCGGCGACGUGUCUUUCAAGUGUCUGCCUUAUCAACUUUCGAUGGUAGUGUACCUGACUACCAUGGUUGUGACGGGUAACGGAGGAUAAGGGUUCGACUCCGGAGAAGGGGCCUGAGAAAUGGCCACUACGUCUAAGGAUGGCAGCAGGCGCGCAAAUUACCCACUCUCAACGCGAGGAGGUAGUGACGAGAAAUAACGAGACCGUUCUCAUACGAGGCCGGUUAUUGGAAUGGGU
RNAcentral lists this ribosomal RNA (465 nucleotides) under unidentified nematode Sourhope farm. RNAcentral's name for it is "SSU rRNA". It matches the Rfam family "Eukaryotic small subunit ribosomal RNA", at positions 58 to 519 of the family's 1831-position model. Lineage: Eukaryota; Metazoa; Nematoda. The record is from RNAcentral.